RNAcentral lists this ribosomal RNA (253 nucleotides) under uncultured bacterium. RNAcentral describes it as "partial 16S ribosomal RNA". It matches the Rfam family "Bacterial small subunit ribosomal RNA", at positions 524 to 776 of the family's 1533-position model. The record is from RNAcentral.
UACGUAGGGUGCGAGCGUUGUUCGGAAUUACUGGGCGUAAAGCGCACGUAGGCGGCUAUUCAAGUCAGAGGUGAAAGCCCGGGGCUCAACCCCGGAACUGCCUUUGAAACUAGAUAGCUAGAAUCUUGGAGAGGUCAGUGGAAUUCCGAGUGUAGAGGUGAAAUUCGUAGAUAUUCGGAAGAACACCAGUGGCGAAGGCGACUGACUGGACAAGUAUUGACGCUGAGGUGCGAAAGCGUGGGGAGCAAACAGG